AUGGUGGUGUGGGAUGCGGUUGCCUGGCCUACAUAUUUCAGAGGUCUAGAGGUGAAGAACUUGCAGCUCCAAGCAUUGGCUCUCCGCGUCAGAUGUGAGUGGCUUCAGAGGGCAGAUCCCAGCAGGCCGUGGCAAGGAAUCCCGAUGAUUGCGGAUAAAUCGGCAAAGAUGGUCUUUAACAACAUGGUGAAGAUCAAGGUUGGCACCGGAGAGAGGGUGCUUUUCUGGAAGGAUAGAUGGAUCCAUGGAUUCACUGUGGGUGAGAUCCCUCCGACCAUCAUGGAGUUUGUCAAGACGCGCGCGCGCAACACUAGGACAGUUCAGCAAGCCCUCAUCGACAACGCGUGGUCACAUGACAUGCAUGGGGACAUCUCCUUUGUGGCUCACAUACAAGUGCCAACAUCUGUUACGCGAUUGCCAUGGUGGAUCGAAACAUGGAUCAAUAGAAUCAAUUUCACUGGUCUGCAAGGGAGCUACACAGCGAAAUCAGUCUAUGCACGGCUUUGUCUGGGUUUUGAUCAGAUCGCCGAUGGACGCGUGCAUUUGGACGAGCUGGGCGCCACUGCGGUGCAAAUUUUUUGCUUGGUUCAGCGUUCAAUACAUACCAUGGACCUUAGACAAGCGUGCGAGGCACGGGCUGCAAGAUUAACCAUCGCACUGCUACACUUGCUUGCAAGAAGAAGAUAA
RNAcentral lists this ribosomal RNA (687 nucleotides) under Triticum aestivum (bread wheat). RNAcentral describes it as "partial small subunit ribosomal RNA". Lineage: Eukaryota; Viridiplantae; Streptophyta; Magnoliopsida; Poales; Poaceae. The record is from RNAcentral.